Molecule: long non-coding RNA, 2874 nt
Organism: Piliocolobus tephrosceles (Ugandan red Colobus)
Lineage: Eukaryota; Metazoa; Chordata; Mammalia; Primates; Cercopithecidae
Source: Ensembl
UAAAAACAUUAAUAAUUUUUAUAAAAAUAAAAAUAAUUAUAUUAAUAAAAGUUAUGACUAUUAUGGUAUUGAUACGGGUGCGUACGUUACUGAUCAUACAAAUUCGUACAUUACUGAUCAUACAAAUUCGUACGUUACUGAUCAUACAAAUUCGUACAUUAGUAAUAAUAAUUAUAUGAACAGUAUAAACGACUCUAUGUAUACAUACGAUACGAAUGGUUUUAUAAAAUAUAACCCCACUAGUAUUAACACUAACUGUGGAUAUAUUGGUGUAAAUAAUUUAAAAACUUAUAGUGAAAAUCCUAUAUAUUAUAAUAUGAAUAAUUAUUUGUCAGAUUAUAAUACUAAUAAUAGGUUAAAUACAAGUGUAAAUAAUAUAAGUACAAUUAGUGACAAUAAUAUUGUUACAUUUAUAAGUAAUGAAAAUAACGAAAAUGAUGAAAAUAAGAAUAAUAGUGAAAAUGAAAAAAUAGGAAUAAUAAUGAAAGUGAAGAAAAUAGGGAUAAUAGCGAAAGUAGUAAAUAUGAAAAAAACGUUUUUAAUAAUUUGAAUAAAAGUGAUAGUAACAAUAUAUUAUUAACUGAACAGUGUAAAGAUGUUUUUGUUAGUGAUAGUGAAGAAUCUAAAACACAAAAGGAAUAUGGAUUAAUAAAUAAUGAUACUUUUGAUAAAAAAAAAGAAAAACAAAACAGUGUUAUUGUUAAUGAUAUAGAGACGAAAGUCGAGAAGGGAUGUUAUAAAAAUGUUGUGGAGAACUGUGGUAAUAUAAAUGUAAAUUCGAAUUAUAACAUUGACGAUGUUAAUAUACAGAGUGAUAAUACAGUUAAUGUUAUUUUAGAAAAAGAAAGUGGCGAAUAUGUUUAUACGUCUAGUUUAAAAAUGGAACGUAAAAAAAGUGAUGGUACCGACAUUUGUAGUGGUAAUAGUAGUGGUAGUGGCAGUGGUAGUGGUAGUGGCAGUGGUAGUGGUAGUAGUAGUAGUGAGAAUGAGAAAAAAUGUAAGGAUAUUUACAGAACAAGUACAACAGUGGAAUUUACUUUAUGGGAGUCACAUAUUAAAUUAGUGAAAAAUAUAAUAUCAACUUAUAGUGAAAAUACAAACAUUGAAAAACAUGGUCUGUUUAACUUGUUGUUUGAUAUAUAUGGUCACACUAGAGAGAUGUUUGCAACUAUACCCGUAGGUGAUAAUGAGGAAAAAAAAGAAAAAACAAACGAAACGAGCGGAAUGGAUGCGACGAAAAAAACGGUGGAACUUAAUGUCGCGAUAAAAAAGAUUAUGGAAGAGUUACAAACAGAAAAAAAUAAUAAAAUUAUUGAAAAGUUAAUUUUUUUAAAAUACUUAUUCAAUCAGUAUAGCCCCCAAACUGAUGAAGAACAUAAUAAUCUGAUUUCUUUGACUAAUUUUGUUAAAAUUUUUAAAAAGUAUAAAAAUAUAUUUGGGUCAUAUAAAAUUACUUUAUUUAUGUUUAAUUGUUUUGAUAGAAAAAAAAAAAAACAUUAUAUUACACAAAGUGAUUUUAUAAUAGGUAUGUUAGCAUGUAGUCCAUUAAUGGAAAAUAAUAUAAACUGUGACAGUGGUAAAUUAAGACACCAACUUAUUUUUCGUGCGUACGAUAUUGAUAGAGAUGGGUUUCUGAAUGAAAAAGAAAUGUUAAUGUUACUUUAUCAUAUAUUUGAAUUGUCUAAAGAUAAUAUAUAUAUGGAAUUUAAAAAUGAUAAAAAUAAAUUAAAAUAUUAUGUUGUUAAAAAAAGAAACGAACUAAUGGAAGAAAAUAAAAAUAUAAGUUAUAAUUGUUUUUAUAAUUUAGUAUUGAAUAAUAAAAUAUGUGGUACUACUUACUUGUUACGAUCAAAUUAUGAUUUAGCAACUCUCGUCAAAUCAGAUUUUAUACAUUCCUUUUCCGUAGAUAAUAUAGGUAACUAUAGUUUAGUUAAUACUACUGUAUCGGAUUUAAACGAUACAGUUAGAACUGUGCAAAAAGUCGUACAAAGUGCAACUAUUGAUGUAAUGGAUACUACUGAUAUGGUGGCUACUGCAGGUGCUGGUAUUAGCACAGAGACAACAAAAGAAAUAGAUAGUAGUGACAUAAAAAAUAAACUGAAAAUGGAUAUACAAGUAGAUGAUAUAGAGAGUGAUAACAGUAAUGAUCAUAUGAAUAAAAACAGAAAUGAUGAUAUAUUCCAUGAUAGUAUUUCUGAAAAAAGUAGUUUGUUAAAUAUUAAUAAUCUUGUUAAUUUCGAUGAGAAUAAUGGUAAAACUAUAAGUAUAAAUAGUAUAGAUGUUAGGAAAUUAUAUAAAUUAGAUAAUUUAAAUAAUAAUGGUGGUAGUGACAAUGGUAGUGACAAUGGUAGUGAUAGUGGUAGUGACAAUGGUAGUGACAAUGGUAGUGACAAUGGUAGUGACAAUGGUAGUGACAAUGGUAGUGACAAUGGUAGUGAUAGUGGUAGUGACAAUGGUAGUGACAAUGGUAGUGACAAUGGUAGUGAUAGUGGUAUAAAUGGUAGUAAUAAUAACAUGUACAAUGACCAGAAGUAUGGUUUGUUUGAUUUACAAAACACUUCAUAUGAAGACGAAAAACCAAAGUUAUACAGCCACAACGUUAUUGAUAAGGAUAUAAAAAUAAGUGAACGACAAGAAGUAAACUUUGAAACAGUAGAAAAAAAUAAUAUAAAGGAAUCGUACUUAUGUGAAUAUGUAUAUAAAACUGAUUUGAACAGUGAUCGUUUUGAAAAUAAACAUAACUAUAUUACUAAUACAAAAGAGAAAAUAGAUGAUGAAAUUUGUUAUGAACAAAAUAGUUCUUUUAUAAAAGAUAGCAGCAUAAAAGAUAGCAGCAUAAAAGAUAGCAGCAUAAAAGAUAGUAACAUAAAAGAU